UCAAGAAACUAAGGGCGCAAGGCGGAUGCCUUGGCACCAGGAGGCGAAGAAGGACGUGACAAGCAACGAAAACCUCGAAUAGGAGCAAAUAUCCAGUAACUCGGGGGAAUCCGAAUGGGGAAACCUACUAGACACACUCUAGUAUCCAUACGUAAAUACAUAGCGUAUGGAGGCGAAUGUUCUGAACUGAAACAUCUAAGUAGGAACAAGAAAAGAAAGAAAACUCGAUUCUCCAAGUAGCGGCGAGCGAACAGAGACAAGCCCAUUAAAGUAAGCCUAAACUGAUAGACAAAUCUUAUGGAAAGAAGAACCAAAGAAAGUAACAGUCUUGUAGUCGAAAUCAGAAUAGAGACACUUUAAGAAGAGUACCACGGAGCACGUGAAAUUCUGUGGGAAGAUAGGGGGACCACCCCCUAAGGCUAAAUACUACCUGGUGACCGAUAGCGAAUAGUACCGUGAGGGAAAGGUGAAAAGAACCCCGGGAGGGGAGUGAAACAGAACCUGAAACCUUGCGCCUACAAGCAGACAGAGGAAGAAGACUUCUAAUGUCGUACUUUUUGUAGAACGGGCCAGCGAGUUACGAUACGUAGCAAGAUUAAACAUUUAAGAUGUGAAGUCGCAGGGAAACCGAGUCUUAAUAGGGCAGAAGUUGCGUGUUGUAGACCCGAAACCGGGUGAUCUAUCCAUGGGCAGAGUGAAGGUAAAGUAAAAUUUACUGGAGGCUCGAACCGGGUAGCGUUUAAAAGCUAUCGGAUGACCUGUGGAUAGGGGUGAAAAGCCAAUCGAACUCGGAUAUAGCUGGUUCUCCUCGAAAUAGCUUUAGGGCUAGCCUUGUUUUAGAUUACAGGAGGUAGAGCACUGAAUAGUCUAGGGGAAGUAAUUCUACCGAAACUUAUCAAACUCCGAAUGCCUGAAAAUCGAUGAACAGGAGUCAGACCAUGAGGGAUAAGCUUCAUAGUCAAAAGGGAAACAGCCCAGACCACCAGUUAAGGUCCCAAAAUACAGAUUAAGUGGGAAAGGAUGUAAUACUACUCAGACAACCAGGAUGUUGGCUCAGAAGCAGCCAUACAUUUAAAGAGUGCGUAAUAGCUCACUGGUCAAGUGGUAAUGCGCCGAAGAUGAACGGGGCUAAAUCUGAUACCGAAACUGUGGGAUAGAAAAGCAAUUAUGCGAGAAGUAUGAAGAAAAGUGAUUAGGAAAUAUAUCAACUAGUAAAGUAAGAGAGAAAAGACACAAACUAAAACUAUUAAACGAUACAAUUUCUAAAACACUUAACAACAUACAACUGGCAUAAUAGCUUUUCUAUCGGUAGAGGAGCGUUGUAUAUGAAUUGAAGCAAAAAGCGUAAGCAAUUGUGGAUUAUAUACAAGUGAGAAUGCUGGCAUGAGUAGCGAAAAGGGAUGUGAGAAUCAUCCCCGUCGAAAGCCCAAGGAUUCCUGAGCAAGGCUCGUCCUCUCAGGGUAAGUCGGGACCUAAGGCGAGGCCGAAAGGCGUAGUCGAUGGACAACAGGUAGAAAUUCCUGUACUACAAGAUUGUGAUUGAGAGAAGUACUGACGCAGAAGGAAAAGUCGAGCGUGUGAAUGGUAGAACACGUCCAAGUAACAAGCCAGAAUAUACAGGCAAAUCCGUAUAUUCGUUAACGUAAGUUAUCAUGGGGAGCAGAAAGAUGCGAAGCGACAGAUUCAAACUGCCAAGAAAAGGUGCUAUCGAAUAAUCUUGUACCCGUACCGCAAACCGACACAGGUAGGCAAGAAGAGAAUUCUAAGACGCGCGGAAGAACCUUUGUUAAGGAACUCGGCAAAAUAAUCCCGUAAGUUAGCGAGAAGGGAUGCCUAAGAAAUUAGGUCGCAGAGAAUAGGCCCAAGCGACUGUUUACCAAAAACACAAGUAUCUGCUAAAUCGAAAGAUGAAGUAUAGGUGCUGACACCUGCCCGGUGCUGGAAGGUCAAGGGGACUUGUUAGAGCAAUCGAAGCAACGAACUUAAGCCCCAGUAAACGGCGGCCGUAACUAUAACGGUCCUAAGGUAGCGAAAUUCCUUGUCGGGUAAGUUCCGACCCGC
RNAcentral lists this ribosomal RNA (2061 nucleotides) under human gut metagenome. RNAcentral describes it as "bacterial LSU rRNA". It matches the Rfam family "Bacterial large subunit ribosomal RNA", at positions 3 to 1991 of the family's 2925-position model. The record is from RNAcentral.